UCACAGUACUUACUUAACAUAUUUCUUAGUAUAUACUUCACUCGACAUAUUUCAAAGUACAUACUUCCCUGAUAUAUUUCAUUCUACUUUAUUGAAAUAUAAAUGUUCUUUAUAGAUGGAAAGUUUUUUUUCAUGAGAAACCUUUGAAAACUAAAUGCAACAGAAAAUUAUCUUGAGACCAUAACCAUGAGAAACAGGCAGAGAAAGAAAUAACCUGGGGUAUAUACACACGCAAACACGCACAUAUAGCUGAACAGCUCAAUGUUAAUGGCGUUGGAGAGCAUAAAUAUUAAAGGUGUCAUUGAGAAAAAGUUAGCUGAGAUAGAGGACUGGAAACUAUCUCGAUAUUGGAAAAGAGUUACCUGCAUCAUUAUGAUUCAUGUCAAAAUGAUGACAUCAUGACUGCUGCUCAAUGCUCCAUGAACAUCGUAAAGGUUGUAAGACAUGACAUGGACAGCUGCAACAGAGACUACAAAGCCGAGGUCAGCAGGAAGGGACAGAGUGAAUGUUCUGGCUAUGUCCUCAUGACAGAAUUCAUCCAACAUCUUUGAACAGAGCCUUAAUUCAGACAGCUAUGUGAAGCUGUUGGGACUACCUGCAGAGGUAGGUAGGCCAAAUAUGUGGCAGCAGGAUUUGGCCUCUUGCCAUACUUUUGGAAAGAGUAAGAAGUGGUUGUUGAAGAAUUUCUAUGACUUCACCAGCCCCAAUUUCUGAUCCUCCAGUUAACUUGACUGUAAUCCCAUGGAUUACUAUGAACACAGUUGAGUAAGAUAUCAAUCACUCUACCAGCAAGAAACACCAAAGCUGAGCUGAUGACCAAAAUCAAGGAGGUUUGAAGAUCUUCCCAGGGACACAGUGAGGAAUGCGUGCCAAGUUCCAGAGCUGUUUUGAGACCAUAGUGGAAGUUUAUAGUGGUUACUUUAAGUAAGCUGUUAUCUUCUAGCCAUAAUCUAGUUGAUAUUUUUGAUUUUUUAAAAAUACUUUUAUUUUCAGAUAGGAUAUUUUCUUUAUCCUUUUAUGAAAACUGUCAAAUUUAUCACAAACAUCCUAUGUUUUAUUGUGUCUGGAGAGAGUCAUUCUCUUCUAGUGCCUUAUUAUUUAACACACUCACAGGUUCAAUUUCCACUCAUUUACUUAUUUAUUUUUCCUAAAAUUUUGCUGCAUCUUGCAACCUUUUCAAUAGUCAUUGACUCUGUCCAGUAUUUGAACUGUGUUCUUUUUGUUUGUUUUUUGCACAUGUCUAUUGUAAUUCCCAAAUUUGUGUGCAUGUAUAUUGUAACUUCCAAACUGAGAACUGUUGCUUUAGAUUAUGUCACUGAAAGGAAUAAGCAAGAAUUUGUUUCUAAAUCUUACCAUAUUGUUUCUAUUACUAUAACAAUAAAUAUAAAAACUCAUGGAAACAAUAUGUGCAUUAAGGCAAUAUGACACUCAGAGAGAAAGAUCUUUCUCAUCUCGUUAACCCUUUUGUUACUAUAUUUCUAUUGAAAUAAAUUACCUUCAUUUCAGUUAAUUUUUUAAAUAAUGAAGAAUUUAGUAAAAUAACUUUGCCAUUAUUAAGUUAGUGUUUGAAACAUAAAGUAAUAUGAAAUUUUGAUGGAAGUCUUUAAUUUAGACCGUUUUAAAACAGAAAGUUUGCAUUAUAGAACCAGGAUGGCCAUGGGCAUUAAUUAAACAAUUUUGUACAAUAGUAGCUUUACCUCUCAACUACUGUGCCCUAUAUUCAUAAUUUUUGUUUAAUAAAUAAGCAUGGCUAUGUGGUUAAAAAGCUCACUUUGAAAUCACAUACUUUUGGGUUCAAUCCUGUCGUAUAGCACUUUGAACAAGUAUCUUACACUAUAUCCGAGGGGCCAACCAGUGCCUAUGGAGUAAAUUUGAUUGAUGAAAAUCAUGUGGAAGCCUGUUAUACAUACAUACAUACAUACAUACAUACAUACAUACAUACAUACAUACACACACACAAACACACACACGCACACACGCACACACACACACACACACACACACACACACACACACAUCGGCCACUAAGGAAAUUAUCUCCUUUGUCAGUCAUUAAGACAGUGCAUUUGUGGCUAUUGAGUCGUUUUGACUGUUAUUUCUAGUAAUGCCGGUACCACUUAGUAUCCUUUGUCACUUUCGUGAUGUCUAUAAAUUUGCAUUUAGGUUGUUAAAUUGCUAAUAAGCCACCCAAUUUAUUUAUAGUUUCCACUUUAACCGUUUUUGAAAUCAGUGUAAGGGUUCAACUGUUUUCAUAUAAGCUGACAAAAUGAGUUGAGUUUAACGUUAGGCACGGUAAGAGCCACUGAGAAUCAUGAUGUUCUGUAUCAAAAUUCGAAAUCACCAUUGAUCUGGCUAUGUCUGCGAGGGAGCUUGUCUCCCUUGUCAGUCAUUAAGACAGUGCAUUUGUAGCUAUUGAGUCGUUUGACUCUUAUUUCUUGCAAUGCCAGUAUCAUUUAGUACCCUCUGUCACUGUAAUAACGUCUAUAUAUGGUAGUGUGAAAUGGAGACACUUACACACUUGGUAACUACUAGCCUUCUAUAAAAAAAAUUUAUCUGGUAGUGGGCUUCCACACAGUUUCCAUUUACCAAAUUCCACUUCCAUAUUACUGGUCAACUCAAGGCUAUAGUAGAAGACUUAUCAAAAUUGGUAUAUUGGUAUCAAAUCAAGACCCAAUCUUAACUACACAGUUAUGCUUAUGCCUUCAAAUUUGUAAGACGACAUAGUGUUAGUUGAAUUAUCUCAGUUAAAGUAAGAGUGAUAGCAAAAUCAGCCCCUUCCAGAUUUGUACUCAAAAAUGCAAACAUGGAAGUUAAAGAAAACAGCUUUCGUCAUCAGUACAGAAAUACUUCAGUUCUCAAUAACUGCAUUAACCACUAACCCUCGACAAAGGGGAGACCCACAAUGGAAUACUGUCCCCUGUUGCUGCUACAUGCACAGAUAACUUAGAAAACAUCCAAAGGAAGGUUAUCUGUUUGAUUGGCAUUGUUAAUCAAUCAGUUAGCCAUUAUUGCAUUUUCAACUCCAAUACUGAAACAUUAUGUAUCUUCAGUUAAACAAA
Molecule: long non-coding RNA, 3059 nt
Organism: Octopus bimaculoides (California two-spot octopus)
Lineage: Eukaryota; Metazoa; Mollusca; Cephalopoda; Octopoda; Octopodidae
Source: RefSeq, a predicted model, not a curated record